ACCUGGGUGGCUUAGCGGGUUAAGCGUCCGACUUCGGCUCAGGUCAUGAUCUCACAGUUCGUGGGUUCGAGCCCCACGUCAGGCU
This is a non-coding RNA of Felis catus (domestic cat), 85 nucleotides long. NCBI's taxonomy places the organism in Eukaryota, Metazoa, Chordata, Mammalia, Carnivora, Felidae. The record is from Rfam.